Acanthosepion pharaonis is the source of this 113-nucleotide non-coding RNA. NCBI's taxonomy places the organism in Eukaryota, Metazoa, Mollusca, Cephalopoda, Sepiida, Sepiidae. The record is from the annotation of a GenBank genome assembly.
UUACGACUAUAUUACGUUGAAGCACCGGUUCUCAUACGAUCAUCAAAGUUAAGCAACGUCGAGCCUGGUUAGUACCUAGAUGGAUGACUGCUGGGAAUACCAGAUGCUGUAAG